RNAcentral lists this long non-coding RNA (491 nucleotides) under Salvia miltiorrhiza (redroot sage). Its description in RNAcentral is "long non-coding RNA (SMIL_LNC007462)". Lineage: Eukaryota; Viridiplantae; Streptophyta; Magnoliopsida; Lamiales; Lamiaceae. The record is from RNAcentral.
CCACCGCCGCGCACAGAGUCGCUGCUGCUGUCUCUCAGAUUUAGGGGAGGCCGCUCAAAAUUGAGCCUUAAUUCUCCCCCUUCCAGAUCGAGCCCUAGCUCUUCUCCUGCCGAUUCAGUUCGGUCGUUGCCGCCGCGUGUGGAAUACCUGCAAAUCNUCGAAAUUCUCUGUGGGGCUGUGCGGUGGUACUUGUUCCAGCGCCGCCUCUUCCCCUGCUCUAACUCUUCCUCUUAAAUCUGAAAUCGUCGCCGCCGUGGUUCCGAAAUCUCAGGCGACGUUGCUCCGCCUGAAAACGCCGCCACCGCCGCGCACAGAGUCGCCGCUCAGAUUUAGGGUAGGCCGCUCAAAAUUGAGCCUUAAUUCUCCCCCUUCCAGAUUGAGCCCUAGCUCUUCUCCUGCCGAUUCAGUUCGGCCGUUGCCGCCGCGUGUGGAAUACCUGCAAAUCGGCGUCCUCCAUCUCUCUACACACGAAGUCUGAAGUCAAAGACGGC